This 599-nucleotide ribosomal RNA is filed under the name uncultured bacterium. RNAcentral describes it as "bacterial SSU rRNA". The stretch from base 1 to 514 matches the Rfam family "Bacterial small subunit ribosomal RNA", at positions 338 to 873 of the family's 1533-position model. The record is from RNAcentral.
CCUACGGGAGGCAGCAGUGGGGAAUCUUGCGCAAUGGGCGAAAGCCUGACGCAGCCAUGCCGCGUGAAUGAUGAAGGUCUUAGGAUUGUAAAAUUCUUUCACCGGGGACGAUAAUGACGGUACCCGGAGAAGAAGCCCCGGCUAACUUCGUGCCAGCAGCCGCGGUAAUACGAAGGGGGCUAGCGUUGCUCGGAAUUACUGGGCGUAAAGGGAGCGUAGGCGGAUAGUUUAGUCAGAGGUGAAAGCCCAGGGCUCAACCUUGGAAUUGCCUUUGAUACUGGCUAUCUUGAGUUUGGGAGAGGUGAGUGGAACUCCGAGUGUAGAGGUGAAAUUCGUAGAUAUUCGGAAGAACACCAGUGGCGAAGGCGACUCACUGGCCCAAUACUGACGCUGAGGCUCGAAAGCGUGGGGAGCAAACAGGAUUAGAUACCCUGGUAGUCCACGCCGUAAACGAUGAGUGCUAGUUGUCGGCANGNANGCAUGUCGGUGACGCNGCUACGCAUAGCACNCCGCCGUGGGAGGUACGGUCGCGAGAGUAAACGUACUAAUUAGAAGUAGACGGCGUGAGACGNGCCGACGGACGACGACGAGGGAGGAGG